GAUGAACGCUGGCGGCGUGCCUAAUACAUGCAAGUCGAGCGAACGGACGAGAAGCUUGCUUCUCUGAUGUUAGCGGCGGACGGGUGAGUAACACGUGGAUAACCUACCUAUAAGACUGGGAUAACUUCGGGAAACCGGAGCUAAUACCGGAUAAUAUUUUGAACCGCAUGGUUCAAAAGUGAAAGACGGUCUUGCUGUCACUUAUAGAUGGAUCCGCGCCGCAUUAGCUAGUUGGUAAGGUAACGGCUUACCAAGGCAACGAUGCAUAGCCGACCUGAGAGGGUGAUCGGCCACACUGGAACUGAGACACGGUCCAGACUCCUACGGGAGGCAGCAGUAGGGAAUCUUCCGCAAUGGGCGAAAGCCUGACGGAGCAACGCCGCGUGAGUGAUGAAGGUCUUCGGAUCGUAAAACUCUGUUAUUAGGGAAGAACAUAUGUGUAAGUAACUGUGCACAUCUUGACGGUACCUAAUCAGAAAGCCACGGCUAACUACGUGCCAGCAGCCGCGGUAAUACGUAGGUGGCAAGCGUUAUCCGGAAUUAUUGGGCGUAAAGCGCGCGUAGGCGGUUUUUUAAGUCUGAUGUGAAAGCCCACGGCUCAACCGUGGAGGGUCAUUGGAAACUGGAAAACUUGAGUGCAGAAGAAGAAAGUGGAAUUCCAUGUGUAGCGGUGAAAUGCGCAGAGAUAUGGAGGAACACCAGUGGCGAAGGCGACUUUCUGGUCUGUAACUGACGCUGAUGUGCGAAAGCGUGGGGAUCAAACAGGAUUAGAUACCCUGGUAGUCCACGCCGUAAACGAUGAGUGCUAAGUGUUAGGGGGUUUCCGCCCCUUAGUGCUGCAGCUAACGCAUUAAGCACUCCGCCUGGGGAGUACGACCGCAAGGUUGAAACUCAAAGGAAUUGACGGGGACCCGCACAAGCGGUGGAGCAUGUGGUUUAAUUCGAAGCAACGCGAAGAACCUUACCAAAUCUUGACAUCCUUUGACAACUCUAGAGAUAGAGCUUUCCCCUUCGGGGGACAAAGUGACAGGUGGUGCAUGGUUGUCGUCAGCUCGUGUCGUGAGAUGUUGGGUUAAGUCCCGCAACGAGCGCAACCCUUAAGCUUAGUUGCCAUCAUUAAGUUGGGCACUCUAAGUUGACUGCCGGUGACAAACCGGAGGAAGGUGGGGAUGACGUCAAAUCAUCAUGCCCCUUAUGAUUUGGGCUACACACGUGCUACAAUGGACAAUACAAAGGGCAGCGAAACCGCGAGGUCAAGCAAAUCCCAUAAAGUUGUUCUCAGUUCGGAUUGUAGUCUGCAACUCGACUACAUGAAGCUGGAAUCGCUAGUAAUCGUAGAUCAGCAUGCUACGGUGAAUACGUUCCCGGGUCU
Molecule: ribosomal RNA, 1372 nt
Filed under: uncultured bacterium
Lineage: Bacteria
Description: bacterial SSU rRNA
Rfam family: Bacterial small subunit ribosomal RNA
Source: RNAcentral